RNAcentral lists this ribosomal RNA (253 nucleotides) under uncultured bacterium. RNAcentral's name for it is "partial 16S ribosomal RNA". It matches the Rfam family "Bacterial small subunit ribosomal RNA", at positions 524 to 776 of the family's 1533-position model. The record is from RNAcentral.
UACGUAGGGUGCAAGCGUUGUCCGGAAUCAUUGGGCGUAAAGAGCGUGUAGGCGGCCCGAUAAGUCCGCCGUGAAAGUCCAGGGCUCAACCCUGGAAUGCCGGUGGAAACUGUCGGGCUUGAGUCCGGAAGAGGCGAGUGGAAUUCCUGGUGUAGCGGUGAAAUGCGCAGAUAUCAGGAGGAACACCAAUGGCGAAGGCAGCUCGCUGGGACGGGACUGACGCUGAGACGCGAAAGCGUGGGGAGCAAACAGG